AGACAGCCCGGGCGCUGCUGUAUCCAUGGCAACCGCCCCGUCUAUGAUCUCCAUGGAAACCUCUAGCCGCUACUGCAGCGCGAAGCAGUGGAAUUUUUUCUUAUAAUCUGCCACGUCAACACGGAGGACAUAAGAGAAAACUGAGAGUUUGGAAGGAAGAGUCAGCAUUUUGGCAAGUGCAUCCAUCCCAGAAGACUUCUCAGAGAGAACACGUAGACAAUGGAGACUGCUUGACCGAUGAGGGUGGACUCCACCUCACAAGCAUAGAUCUUUCCUGCAAUUUGAAAGAAACUGUAAAAGAGGGGAAGUGACAUCAUCACUUGGCCUCACUCCCCCCAUAACUGAACACCUGGAAACACAUCUGGAGGACAAAGACUUUGAACCGGGGAGGGUCAUCCCAGGCUGGGAGGCAGUUCCAGCCUGUAUAUUGAAGAUCUGCAACCUGUUUAUACCAUCUGUCAGGGUGAGACACUGCUUAAUUCAAAUCCCGUUUAGAUUGUAGAAUUCAGACUGUGAAUUUAGUUUUGUUUCUUAGGUAACCAACUUUUAUCUGUAUGCUUGCUACUUAUAAUCACUUAAAAUCUAUC
Long non-coding RNA from Terrapene triunguis (Three-toed box turtle), 587 nucleotides. RefSeq lists it as uncharacterized. The transcript is spliced from 3 exons. NCBI's taxonomy places the organism in Eukaryota, Metazoa, Chordata, Testudines, Emydidae. The record is from RefSeq and is a predicted model, not a curated record.